Molecule: ribosomal RNA, 497 nt
Filed under: uncultured bacterium
Lineage: Bacteria
Description: partial 16S ribosomal RNA
Rfam family: Bacterial small subunit ribosomal RNA
Source: RNAcentral
GAUGAACGCUGGCGGCGUGCCUAAUACAUGCAAGUCGAGCGAACAGACGAGGAGCUUGCUCCUCUGACGUUAGCGUCGGACGGGUGAGUAACACGUGGAUAACCUACCUAUAAGACUGGGAUAACUUCGGGAAACCGGAGCUAAUACCGGAUAAUAUAUUGAACCGCAUGGUUCAAUAGUGAAAGACGGUUUUGCUGUCACUUAUAGCUUGAUCCGCGCCGCAUUAGCUAGUUGGUAAGGUAACGGCUUACCAAGGCAACGAUGCGUAGCCGACCUGAGAGGGUGAUCGGCCACACUGGAACUGAGACACGGUCCAGACUCCUACGGGAGGCAGCAGUAGGGAAUCUUCCGCAAUGGGCGAAAGCAUGACGGAGCAACGCCGCGUGAGUGAUGAAGGUCUUCGGAUCGUAAAACUCUGUUAUUAGGGAAGAACAAAUGUGUAAGUAACUAUGCACGUCUUGACGGUACCUAAUCAGAAAGCCACGGCUAACUACGUG